RNAcentral lists this non-coding RNA (21 nucleotides) under Caenorhabditis elegans. The record is from RNAcentral. Lineage: Eukaryota; Metazoa; Nematoda; Chromadorea; Rhabditida; Rhabditidae.
UGAUUAAUCGUCUCUCUGUGU